CGGAGUCAAACGCGUUUAACCCUUCCCUUCUCCUUCAAGGUCACCCAAGUUGAGGUUCACGUAGAAGGUAGCAACGUCAACGAAAGCGAAUCUUAAACGAACCUAACCUACAUGGAUGAAAAAUAUUGGACAAAAUGUAAACAUUGCUCGGAUCUUGUCCCCUGGAGCUUGGAGGACUUUUGGUGUAGAUGAUGUUCAGGGCCUACCAAAGCAAGGUUUCUCAAACAACUGUGGGGUGUUUGUUUUGAUGGUAAGAUGCUAUUCAGUAUAUUAUAUUUGUCCUAUUUUCUGUUAUAACAUAUGAAAAGUUAUUAUUUCUGUGCUUGCAGCAUGUAAAGCACACUAUUGUUAUUGCUCAUACUUUUUCUUCUUUAUUAUUCUUGACAGUUCUUGGGACCUGUUUCCUACAGUUUUUACGUUACAUACACAAUUCAUACAUCAAACUCCUGCAGAGCUGGAUGCUGAUGUGACAUGCUGUGACUUCUUGGGGGCGGAGUCUUCUACAUCCUGAAAUAUAUUCCUGGGGGAUGUCUUCUACAUCCUGAACUAUAUUCCUGUGGGGGGUGUCUUCUACAUCCUGAAAUAUAUUCCUGGGGGAUGUCUUCUACAUCCUGAAAUAUAUUCCUGGGGGGGAUGUCUUCUACAUCCUGAAAUAUAUUCCUUUGGGGGAUGUCUUCUACAUCCUGAAAUAUAUUCCUGUGGGGGGUGUCUUCUACAUCCUGAAAUAUAUUCCUGGGGGAUGUCUUCUACAUCCUGAAAUAUAUUCCUGUGGGGGAUGUCUUCUACAUCCUGAAAUAUAUUCCUGUGGGGGAUGUCUUCUACAUAUAUAUAUAUAUUCCUGGGGGAUGUCUUCUACAUCCUGAAAUAUAUUCCUGUGGGGGGUGUCUUCUACAUAUAUAUAUAUAUUUCAGAAUGAUGUAAAAGAGUUCCCCCCAUGAAGUCACAGCAUGUCACAUCAGCAUCCAGCUCUGCAGGAUCAGGUACUGUAUAGGCUAUUAGCUAAAGUAAGGUGCAUUCUUGUACACACAUCCCUAGAGGUUCCCUCACAUUACUUAAUGACCACAAUCUGUUUUCUUUCUAAACGAUACCGGAAAAAAAUACACGGCGAACUGGGAGCUGUGAACUGGGAAGCAGAUUUUCUUCUAAGUGACACCCUAGAGGCAGCAAGGUGAUGUGAACUCCAAACAUUUAAAGGCACUGUUCCCCUCCCUAGUGUAAUUGGGAUGGACGGGGAAGACCACAUUACAACCCUUAAAGAACUACAGUUGUAUGAUGGCCUGGAUGACGAGACAAAGGUUCUCCUCAAGGAACCAUUCAUGUUCCAGAGAGAUUAUGAGAUGUUCUAUGUGGAGGCAGUUGACAACAAGAAAAUGACUCUCUGCCUCUUUAGAGGAGCAGGAGUGAAGUGGUCAAAUCUUAUUUUGUCUGCUGUGUUAAUUGUUUCAAUUGUUAAUUGUGUUAUGUUUAGUAAAGAUGACGUAGAAGUCACCCGAGUCUCUGAUCUCUUCACUGGAGCUGGUAUAACUUCAUGUACAAAGCACAUUCAGCUUGUCAGUAUGUCUAUAUGGUAUAGUCUGUCUCCAUUCUCAUGAGGAAAG
Molecule: long non-coding RNA, 1598 nt
Organism: Oncorhynchus keta (chum salmon)
Lineage: Eukaryota; Metazoa; Chordata; Actinopteri; Salmoniformes; Salmonidae
Exons: 4
Source: RefSeq, a predicted model, not a curated record